CAAUAGCGUAUAUUAAAGUUGUUGCAGUUAAAAAGCCCGUAGUUGGAUUUCUGGUUGAAGCGACCGGUCGGGCGUUGAUUCGUCUGCACUGGAGUCGGUUUUGGCCAUCCUCUAGGAAAGUGCGUCUGGUAUUAAGUUAUCGGGCGUAUGAUCCUGGUCUUUUACUGUGAAAAAAUUAGAGUGUUUAAAGCAGGCCUUCGCCUUGAAUACAUUAGCAUGGAAUAAUAAGAUAGGACUUUGGUCUAUUUUGUUGGUUUGCAGACCGAAGUAAUGAUUAAUAGGGAUAGUUGGGGGUAUUUAUAUUCCGAUGUCAGAGGUGAAAUUCUUAGAUUUUCGGAAGAUAAACUUAUGCGAAAGCAUUUACCAAGGAUGUUUNCAUUA
Molecule: ribosomal RNA, 381 nt
Filed under: uncultured eukaryote
Lineage: Eukaryota
Description: partial 18S ribosomal RNA
Rfam family: Eukaryotic small subunit ribosomal RNA
Source: RNAcentral